This 277-nucleotide long non-coding RNA is filed under the name Mytilus galloprovincialis (Mediterranean mussel). Lineage: Eukaryota; Metazoa; Mollusca; Bivalvia; Mytilida; Mytilidae. The record is from RNAcentral.
CAAUUGCACAGUAUUGCGCAAUAGCAAGAAAUCUUCAAUUGCACAGUAUAGUGCAAUAGCAAGAAAUCUUCAAUUGCACAGUAUUGGGCAAUAGCAAGAAAUAUCUAAUUGCACAAUAUUGCGCAAUAGCAAGAAAUUUUCAAUUGCACAGUUUUGCCCAAUAGCAAGAAAUAUUCAAUUGCACAGUAUUGUCCCGUUUUCAAAUUGGUCUACAUUAAGGUCCAAAGGGUCAAAAAUUAAACUUUGUUUGAUUUCAACAAAAAUUGAAUAUAUGGGG